UACGGAGGGUGCGAGCGUUGUCCGGAAUCACUGGGCGUAAAGGGCGCGUAGGCGGUGCGAGAAGCGUGUGGUGAAAGGCCGGGGCUCAACCCCGGCUCGGCCGUGCGGACUCUCGCGCUUGGUGAGUGCUGUAGAGGCGGGCGGAAUUCCGGGUGUAGCGGUGGAAUGCGUAGAGAUCCGGAAGAACACCUGUGGCGAAAGCGGCUCACUGGACCACAACUGACGCUGAGGCGCGAAAGCUAGGGGAGCAAACAGG
RNAcentral lists this ribosomal RNA (256 nucleotides) under uncultured bacterium. RNAcentral's name for it is "partial 16S ribosomal RNA". It matches the Rfam family "Bacterial small subunit ribosomal RNA", at positions 524 to 776 of the family's 1533-position model. The record is from RNAcentral.